GUAGGUGGCAAGCGUUGUCCGGAAUUAUUGGGCGUAAAGCGCGCGCAGGCGGUUCUUUAAGUCUGAUGUGAAAGCCCACGGGCUCAACCGUGGAGGGUCAUUGGAAACUGGAGAACUUGAGUACAGAAGAGGAAAGCGGAAUUCCACGUGUAGCGGUGAAAUGCGUAGAGAUGUGGAGGAACACCAGUGGCGAAGGCGGCUUUCUGGUCUGUAACUGACGCUGAGGCGCGAAAGCGUGGGGAGCAAACAGGAUUAGAUACCCUGGUAGUCCACGCCGUAAACGAUGAGUGCUAAGUGUUAGGGGGUUUCCGCCCCUUAGUGCUGCAGCUAACGCAUUAAGCACUCCGCCGUGGGGAGUACGGCCGCAAGGCUG
This 373-nucleotide ribosomal RNA is filed under the name uncultured organism. RNAcentral's name for it is "partial 16S ribosomal RNA". It matches the Rfam family "Bacterial small subunit ribosomal RNA", at positions 527 to 896 of the family's 1533-position model. The record is from RNAcentral.